Arachis ipaensis is the source of this 439-nucleotide non-coding RNA. NCBI's taxonomy places the organism in Eukaryota, Viridiplantae, Streptophyta, Magnoliopsida, Fabales, Fabaceae. The record is from RefSeq and is a predicted model, not a curated record.
UCUCUUUUUCGCGUGGAGUCUCGCAGUCGAAGCGGCUACCUUUUUGUCUCUAGUAUCUACUUCAACCAUCGCAGGUCUCAGAUCUCAAUUUUCAAGUCUCUUCUUCUCUGCUUCAAGCCUUCAACCCUCUCAGGCCUAGAAAAGUUCAGGUACGUGGGGCAACACAUUGAUGCUCAUUUGUGACAGCAGCAUCAAAAUGGUCCUUUAAUAAUCAAUUUUCUGUUCAUCAAGAACCAAUUUUAUGUUUUUGAGGUCUAAUUUUAUAGAGAAAUGUAACAGAUUGAUAAUGAAGAGACAAUUAAAUGUCUCAUAUAUCUUUGGAACUAAUUUGACCAAGUUAGUAAUAUAUAAAUUGAUGAUCAAUUUGAUGUCAAAGGCAUAUUCCACGGAUCAAAUAAACUUUGAUUAUUUGAAGAGCUUACUCAUGUUUUGAGCUGAA